AUCUACCUUAUACAGGGGGAUAGCCUUUGGAAACGAAGAUUAAUACCCCAUAGUAUUGUUAAGUGGCAUCGUUUAACAAUUAAAACUCCGGUGGUAUAAGAUGACUAUGCGUCCUAUUAGCUAGUUGGUAUGGUAACGGCAUACCAAGGCAACGAUAGGUAGGGGUCCUGAGAGGGAGAUCCCCCACACUGGUACUGAGACACGGACCAGACUCCUACGGGAGGCAGCAGUGAGGAAUAUUGGACAAUGGUCGGAAGACUGAUCCAGCCAUGCCGCGUGCAGGAAGACUGCCCUAUGGGUUGUGAACUGCUUUUAUACAGGAAGAAUAAGGAGCUCGUGAGCUCUGAUGACGGUACUGUAAGAAUAAGCACCGGCUAACUCCGUGCCAGCAGCCGCGGUAAUACGGAGGGUGCAAGCGUUAUCCGGAAUCAUUGGGUUUAAAGGGUCCGCAGCGGGUUUAUAAGUCAGUGGUGAAAGUCUGCAGCUUAACUGUAGAAUUGCCAUUGAUACUGUAGAUCUUGAAUCGUUGUGAAGUGGUUAGAAUAUGUAGUGUAGCGGUGAAAUGCUUAGAGAUUACAUAGAAUACCGAUUGCGAAGCAGAUCACUAACAACGUAUUGACGCUGAUGGA
This 629-nucleotide ribosomal RNA is filed under the name uncultured bacterium. Its description in RNAcentral is "bacterial SSU rRNA". It matches the Rfam family "Bacterial small subunit ribosomal RNA", at positions 124 to 753 of the family's 1533-position model. The record is from RNAcentral.